UAUUGGACAAUGGGCGAAAGCCUGAUCCAGCAAUGCCGCGUGAGUGAUGAAGGCCUUAGGGUUGUAAAGCUCUUUUACCCGGGAUGAUAAUGACAGUAUCGGGAGAAUAAGCUCCGGCUAACUCCGUGCCAGCAGCCGCGGUAAUACGGAGGGAGCUAGCGUUGUUCGGAAUUACUGGGCGUAAAGCGCACGUAGGCGGCUUUGUAAGUUAGAGGUGAAAGCCUGGAGCUCAACUCCAGAAUUGCCUUUGAUACUGCAUCGCUUGAAUCCAGGAGAGGUGAGUGGAAUUCCGAGUGUAGAGGUGAAAUUCGUAGAUAUUCGGAAGAACACCAGUGGCGAAGGCGGCUCACUGGACUGGUAUUGACGCUGAGGUGCGAAG
Molecule: ribosomal RNA, 379 nt
Filed under: uncultured bacterium
Lineage: Bacteria
Description: bacterial SSU rRNA
Rfam family: Bacterial small subunit ribosomal RNA
Source: RNAcentral